AGUGAACGCUGGCGGUAGGCCUAACACAUGCAAGUCGAACGGCAGCACAGUAAGAGCUUGCUCUUACGGGUGGCGAGUGGCGGACGGGUGAGGAAUACAUCGGAAUCUACUUUUUCGUGGGGGUUAACGUAGGGAAACUUACGCUAAUACCGCAUCCGACCUACGGGUGAAAGCAGGGGAUCUUCGGACCUUGCGCGAUUGGAUGAGCCGAUGUCGGAUUAGCUAGUUGGCGGGGUAAAGGCCCACCAAGGCGAGGAUCCGUUGCCGGUCUGAGAGGAGGGUCGGCGGCACUGGAAGUGAGACACGGACCAGACUCCUACGGGAGGCAGCAGUGGGGAAUAUUGGACAAUGGGGGCAAGCCUGAUCCAGCCAUACCGCGUGGGUGAAGAAGGCCUUCGGGUUGUAAAGCCCUUUUGUUGGGAAAGAAAAGCAGCAGGUUAAUACCCCGCGGUUCUGACGGUACCCAAUGAAUAAGCACCGGCUAACUUCGUG
RNAcentral lists this ribosomal RNA (492 nucleotides) under uncultured bacterium. RNAcentral's name for it is "partial 16S ribosomal RNA". It matches the Rfam family "Bacterial small subunit ribosomal RNA", at positions 29 to 507 of the family's 1533-position model. The record is from RNAcentral.